This 468-nucleotide ribosomal RNA is filed under the name uncultured bacterium. RNAcentral's name for it is "partial 16S ribosomal RNA". It matches the Rfam family "Bacterial small subunit ribosomal RNA", at positions 28 to 507 of the family's 1533-position model. The record is from RNAcentral.
GACGAACGCUGGCGGCGUGCUUAACACAUGCAAGUCGAACGGAAAGGCCUUGCUUUUGUGGCGUGCUCGAGUGGCGAACGGGUGAACAACACGUGGGUAACCGGCCCUUGACUGGAGGAGAACUCCAGUAAACUGUGGCUAAUAGCGCAUAGGAGCUACUCCUGCAUGGUGGGGGUUGGAAAGUGUGGGCGGUGGUGGAUGGACUGGCGGCUUAUCAGCUGGUUGGUGGUGUAGUGUCUUACCAAGGCUUUGACGGGUAGCCGGCCUGAGAGGGUGACCGGCCGCCUUGCUACUGAGGUGCGGCGCAGAAUACUACGGGAGGAAGCAGUGGUGAAUAAUGCACAGUGGGCGGAAGCCGGAUGAAGCAACGAUGCGUGCUGGAUGAAGGCGUUCGGGUUGUAGACCGCUUUCGCCUGUGAAGAAGAGGGAGUGACGGUAAUGGGUAAAGAAGCACCGGCUAACUACGUG